RNAcentral lists this long non-coding RNA (1003 nucleotides) under Capra hircus (goat). RNAcentral describes it as "lncRNA (ENSCHIG00000005701.1)". Lineage: Eukaryota; Metazoa; Chordata; Mammalia; Artiodactyla; Bovidae. The record is from RNAcentral.
GUUAAUCUCUGGCAGUGAUACCUAUGCUGAUGAGUAAUUUCCCAAAUUUCAAAUCCCUUCAUAGAAGGAUAUUUCUCAACUGAAACGCCAGGAAGCAGGACUUAAGUUAGACUUAAGAGCUGGCUGAUGGGAAGGUUUAUUAAAUACUGAAACCCAGGAGAUGGCAACGUCUUUACUGAAGGUCUUUAAUAACGGUUUAGGUGUUGUCUUGCCUGAAGGCAGUGAGGAUAUUUAUAAUGUGUUGAAUUUGCAUAUGAUGGAUUUCAGGAGAUCUUUGAGAGAAAGUCCUUAAGAUACUCUUUGGUAAAAAUAGGAAACGUGUGGACCUAAAGUAGUGAAGCUCUGUGUGCCAUCUCUUUCAAUAGCUGGUCAUAAUUAAGAGAUGAGCUACUCCACAGCUCUUGUGGCUUAAAGAAACUGUGAGGGGGAAAAAAAAAGUCCAUUUUAGACCUUUCUAUGAGCUUUUGCACUAUGAAGUAUUAAAUCUACAGUUGAGAAAUAGAGAAAAUCAUAAAUUUUUCAAGGUCUCCACUCUAUAGUAAGUCUUGGUUAUGAAGUUCAUCCUAGCUUAAUGUUAACCCAGGGAAUCCCAGGCUGAUAAAUGUUUUCUUAAUCUUUGCAGAGAUUCGAACUUCUGGCUUGUGGAAAAGUUGAGGUCUGCACAAGAAGAAUACAGUCUCAAGCUUUUCCCCUAUAUUGGAAAGAAUGUGAUUGACUAGGUAGGACUGUCAGGCCAACAGCAAGAAGCAAGCUCCACCUCAGAUCAUCAGGCAUUAGAUUCUGGAAGCUGCAAAGCCCUGCUAAAGGGAUCAUGGCGAUGCAUCACCGUCCUCUGUUGGAAAAUCACUGUUUCCAAAAGUCACUUAAGGUCAAAAAGUUGAGUAUUGGCACCUUCAUCUGGUUCAAAGAGAGCCACCUUCAUCUAAAAAAAUGCAUUUCAAAUUGUCACCUAAAAAUAGAAAUAUUGGGCUUGUGUAUAUCCUGCUGUGAGCCAUUGGCCUGA